This is a long non-coding RNA of Aethalodelphis obliquidens (Pacific white-sided dolphin), 331 nucleotides long. RefSeq lists it as uncharacterized. The transcript has 2 exons. Lineage: Eukaryota; Metazoa; Chordata; Mammalia; Artiodactyla; Delphinidae. The record is from RefSeq and is a predicted model, not a curated record.
GGCGCCGCCUGGUGGGGACCCAGGGGACGAAGGGAAGGAGUCCUACUCCGCUUCCGGACAGCCAGGAUCGCCAGGAGACCAGAAGCGCGACCUCCCCGGCGCAGCAGGGCAGAGCUUCUCCUGAAGACAUGCAGGAUGAUUUCACUUUACAUGACAUUUAAUCUUGCUCAUGGAGGAAUCAGUUCCCAAGACCUGACAGGACUGGAGGUGGCAGUGGUCAUCCAAGGAGAACACCGGUGACUCUCCUAACUUCAUUCCCCAAUCAAAGAGGACAGUUUUGGUUUGCCACUGGUGAGUUUAUUACAUGAUUAAAGUUCAAAUAAAAAAAUAA